RNAcentral lists this ribosomal RNA (2160 nucleotides) under Escherichia coli. RNAcentral's name for it is "bacterial LSU rRNA". It matches the Rfam family "Bacterial large subunit ribosomal RNA", at positions 1 to 2188 of the family's 2925-position model. The record is from RNAcentral. Lineage: Bacteria; Pseudomonadati; Pseudomonadota; Gammaproteobacteria; Enterobacterales; Enterobacteriaceae.
UUAAGCGACUAAGCGUACACGGUGGAUGCCCUGGCAGUCAGAGGCGAUGAAGGACGUGCUAAUCUGCGAUAAGCGUCGGUGAGGUGAUAUGAACCGUUAUAACCGGCGAUUUCCGAAUGGGGAAACCCAGUGUGUUUCGACACACUAUCAUUAACUGAAUCCAUAGGUUAAUGAGGCGAACCGGGGGAACUGAAACAUCUAAGUACCCCGAGGAAAAGAAAUCAACCGAGAUUCCCCCAGUAGCGGCGAGCGAACGGGGAGGAGCCCAGAGCCUGAAUCAGUGUGUGUGUUAGUGGAAGCGUCUGGAAAGGCGCGCGAUACAGGGUGACAGCCCCGUACACAAAAAUGCACACAUUGUGAGCUCGAUGAGUAGGGCGGGACACGUGGUAUCCUGUCUGAAUAUGGGGGGACCAUCCUCCAAGGCUAAAUACUCCUGACUGACCGAUAGUGAACCAGUACCGUGAGGGAAAGGCGAAAAGAACCCCGGCGAGGGGAGUGAAAAAGAACCUGAAACCGUGUACGUACAAGCAGUGGGAGCCUCUUAAUGAGGUGACUGCGUACCUUUUGUAUAAUGGGUCAGCGACUUAUAUUCUGUAGCAAGGUUAACCGAAUAGGGGAGCCGAAGGGAAACCGAGUCUUAACUGGGCGUUAAGUUGCAGGGUAUAGACCCGAAACCCGGUGAUCUAGCCAUGGGCAGGUUGAAGGUUGGGUAACACUAACUGGAGGACCGAACCGACUAAUGUUGAAAAAUUAGCGGAUGACUUGUGGCUGGGGGUGAAAGGCCAAUCAAACCGGGAGAUAGCUGGUUCUCCCCGAAAGCUAUUUAGGUAGCGCCUCGUGAAUUCAUCUCCGGGGGUAGAGCACUGUUUCGGCAAGGGGGUCAUCCCGACUUACCAACCCGAUGCAAACUGCGAAUACCGGAGAAUGUUAUCACGGGAGACACACGGCGGGUGCUAACGUCCGUCGUGAAGAGGGAAACAACCCAGACCGCCAGCUAAGGUCCCAAAGUCAUGGUUAAGUGGGAAACGAUGUGGGAAGGCCCAGACAGCCAGGAUGUUGGCUUAGAAGCAGCCAUCAUUUAAAGAAAGCGUAAUAGCUCACUGGUCGAGUCGGCCUGCGCGGAAGAUGUAACGGGGCUAAACCAUGCACCGAAGCUGCGGCAGCGACACUAUGUGUUGUUGGGUAGGGGAGCGUUCUGUAAGCCUGUGAAGGUGGCCUGUGAGGGUUGCUGGAGGUAUCAGAAGUGCGAAUGCUGACAUAAGUAACGAUAAAGCGGGUGAAAAGCCCGCUCGCCGGAAGACCAAGGGUUCCUGUCCAACGUUAAUCGGGGCAGGGUGAGUCGACCCCUAAGGCGAGGCCGAAAGGCGUAGUCGAUGGGAAACAGGUUAAUAUUCCUGUACUUGGUGUUACUGCGAAGGGGGGACGGAGAAGGCUAUGUUGGCCGGGCGACGGUUGUCCCGGUUUAAGCGUGUAGGCUGGUUUUCCAGGCAAAUCCGGAAAACCAAGGCUGAGGCGUGAUGACGAGGCACUACGGUGCUGAAGCGACAAAUGCCCUGCUUCCAGGAAAAGCCUCUAAGCAUCAGGUAACAUCAAAUCGUACCCCAAACCGACACAGGUGGUCAGGUAGAGAAUACCAAGGCGCUUGAGAGAACUCGGGUGAAGGAACUAGGCAAAAUGGUGCCGUAACUUCGGGAGAAGGCACGCUGAUAUGUAGGUGAAGCGACUUGCUCGUGGAGCUGAAAUCAGUCGAAGAUACCAGCUGGCUGCAACUGUUUAUUAAAAACACAGCACUGUGCAAACACGAAAGUGGACGUAUACGGUGUGACGCCUGCCCGGUGCCGGAAGGUUAAUUGAUGGGGUUAGCGGUAACGCGAAGCUCUUGAUCGAAGCCCCGGUAAACGGCGGCCGUAACUAUAACGGUCCUAAGGUAGCGAAAUUCCUUGUCGGGUAAGUUCCGACCUGCACGAAUGGCGUAAUGAUGGCCAGGCUGUCUCCACCCGAGACUCAGUGAAAUUGAACUCGCUGUGAAGAUGCAGUGUACCCGCGGCAAGACGGAAAGACCCCGUGAACCUUUACUAUAGCUUGACACUGAACAUUGAGCCUUGAUGUGUAGGAUAGGUGGGAGGCUUUGAAGUGUGGACGCCAGUCUGCAUGGAGCCG